CCUACGGGAGGCAGCAGUGGGGAAUAUUGCACAAUGGGGGGAACCCUGAUGCAGCGACGCCGCGUGGGUGAAGGAGUAUUUCGGUAUGUAAAGCCCUAUCAGCAGGGAAGAACAAUGACGGUACCUGACUAAGAAGCACCGACUAAAUAAGUGCCAGCAGCCUCGGUAAUACGUAUGGUGCAAGCGUUAUCCGGAUUUACUGGGUGUAAAGGGAUCGCAGGGGGCGCGUUAAGCCUGGUGUGAAAGCCCGGGGCCCAACCGCGGGACUGCAUUGGGAACUGGCGCGCUGGAGUGCGGGAGGGGUAGGCGGAAUUCCUAGUGUAGCGGUGAAAUGCAUAGAUA
This 342-nucleotide ribosomal RNA is filed under the name uncultured bacterium. Its description in RNAcentral is "partial 16S ribosomal RNA". It matches the Rfam family "Bacterial small subunit ribosomal RNA", at positions 338 to 696 of the family's 1533-position model. The record is from RNAcentral.